CCGGGCGUUCGCAGGGGAGGAUUUUCCUUGCUGCUGCUUAACUUGGAGGAGUACUACUUUGAACAGCAUAGAGCCAAUCACAUUUUGCACAAGGGCAGUCACCAUGAAAGGAAAAUCAGAGGCUCCUUAAAAAUAUGUUCAAAAUCGGUGAUUUUUGAACCAGAUUCAAUAUCCCAGCCCAUCAUCAAGAUUCCUUUGAGAGACUGUAUAAAAAUAGGAAAGCAUGGAGAAAAUGGAGCCAAUAGACACUUCACAAAGGCAAAAUCUGGGGGUAUUUCACUCAUUUUCAGUCAGGUAUAUUUCAUUAAAGAACAUAAUGUUGUUGCACCAUAUAAAAUAGAAAGGGUAAGUAAAGCUUUUCAUGUAUUUCCAGCAAUUUAUAUAGUCAUUUUGAACAAUAAAAUUUUGUGACU
RNAcentral lists this long non-coding RNA (413 nucleotides) under Homo sapiens (human). Its description in RNAcentral is "non-protein coding lnc-CYP7A1-7:1". Lineage: Eukaryota; Metazoa; Chordata; Mammalia; Primates; Hominidae. The record is from RNAcentral.